GGAAUUUUCGGCAAUGGGCGAAAGCCUGACCGAGCAAUGCCGCGUGAAUGAAGAAAUUCUUCGGAAUGUAAAAUUCUGUGGUGAGGGAAGAAAGGUAUUAGAAGGAAAUGGCUAAUAUUUGACGGUACCUUACUAGAAAGCCCCGGCUAACUAUGUGCCAGCAGCCGCGGUAAUACAUAGGGGGCAAGCGUUAUCCGGAAUUAUUGGGCGUAAAGCGUGCGUAGGCGGCCACUUAAGUCUGUCGUGAAAGCCCACAGCUUAACUGUGGAGGGUCGAUGGAAACUGAGAGGCUUGAAUCUAGGAGAGGUAAGUGGAAUUCCAUGUGUAGCGGUAAAAUGCUUAGAUAUAUGGAGGAACACCAGUGGCGAAGGCGGCUUACUGGUCUAGAAUUGACGCUGAUGCACGAAAGCGUGGGUAGCAAACAGGAUUAGAUACCCUGGUAGUCCACGCCGUAAACGAUGAGCACUAAGUGUCGGACGUAAGUUCGGUGCUGAAGUUAACGCAUUAAGUGCUCCGCCUGGGGAGUACGGUCGCAAGACUGAAACUCAAAGGAAUUGACGGGGACUCGCACAAGCGGUGGAGCAUGUGGUUUAAUUCGACGCAACGCGAAAAACCUUACCAGGCCUUGACAUACCGAUGACGUCUUUAGAGAUAGAGAGUUACCUUCGGGUACAUCGGAUACAGGUGGUGCAUGGUUGUCGUCAGCUCGUGUCGUGAGAUGUUGGGUUAAGUCCCGCAACGAGCGCAACCCUUAUCAUUAGUUGCUAACAGUCAGAUGAGCACUCUAAUGAGACUGCCAGCGAAAAGUUGGAGGAAGGUGGGGAUGACGUCAAAUCAUCAUGCCCCUUAUGGCCUGGGCUACACACGUGCUACAAUGGCUGGUACAAAGAGGAGCAAAGCUGUGAAGUGGAGCAAAUCUCAAAAAGCCAGUCUCAGUUCGGAUUGUAGUCUGCAACUCGACUACAUGAAGUUGGAAUCGCUAGUAAUCGUAAAUCAGCAUGUUACGGUGAAUACGUUCUCGAGUCUUGUACACACCGCCCGUCACACCAUGAGAGUUUGUAAUACCCGAAGCCGGUGGCUUAACCGCAAGGAGAGAGCCGUCUAAGGUAGGACAGAUGAUUGGGGUGAAGUCGUAACAAGGUAUCCCUACGAGAACGUGGGGAUG
Molecule: ribosomal RNA, 1165 nt
Filed under: human gut metagenome
Description: bacterial SSU rRNA
Rfam family: Bacterial small subunit ribosomal RNA
Source: RNAcentral